This 499-nucleotide ribosomal RNA is filed under the name uncultured Bacillota bacterium. RNAcentral describes it as "bacterial SSU rRNA". It matches the Rfam family "Bacterial small subunit ribosomal RNA", at positions 355 to 845 of the family's 1533-position model. The record is from RNAcentral. Lineage: Bacteria; Bacillati; Bacillota.
UAGGGAAUCUUCCGCAAUGGACGAAAGUCUGACGGAGCAACGCCGCGUGAGCGAAGAAGGCCUUCGGGUCGUAAAGCUCUGUUGUUAGGGAAGAACAAGUAUCGGAGUAACUGCCGGUACCUUGACGGUACCUAACCAGAAAGCCACGGCUAACUACGUGCCAGCAGCCGCGGUAAUACGUAGGUGGCAAGCGUUGUCCGGAAUUAUUGGGCGUAAAGCGCGCGCAGGCGGUCCUUUAAGUCUGAUGUGAAAGCCCACGGCUCAACCGUGGAGGGUCAUUGGAAACUGGGGGACUUGAGUGCAGAAGAGGAGAGUGGAAUUCCACGUGUAGCGGUGAAAUGCGUAGAGAUGUGGAGGAACACCAGUGGCGAAGGCGACUCUCUGGUCUGUAACUGACGCUGAGGCGCGAAAGCGUGGGGAGCAAACAGGAUUAGAUACCCUGGUAGUCCACGCCGUAAACGAUGAGUGCUAAGUGUUAGAGGGUUUCCGCCCUUUAGUG